RNAcentral lists this ribosomal RNA (2631 nucleotides) under Salmonella enterica subsp. enterica serovar Enteritidis. RNAcentral describes it as "partial 23S ribosomal RNA". It matches the Rfam family "Bacterial large subunit ribosomal RNA". The record is from RNAcentral. Lineage: Bacteria; Pseudomonadati; Pseudomonadota; Gammaproteobacteria; Enterobacterales; Enterobacteriaceae.
CUAUCAUUAACUGAAUCCAUAGGUUAAUGAGGCGAACCGGGGGAACUGAAACAUCUAAGUACCCCGAGGAAAAGAAAUCAACCGAGAUUCCCCCAGUAGCGGCGAGCGAACGGGGAGGAGCCCAGAGCCUGAAUCAGCAUGUGUGUUAGUGGAAGCGUCUGGAAAGGCGCGCGAUACAGGGUGACAGCCCCGUACACAAAAGCGCAUGUGCUGUGAGCUCGAUGAGUAGGGCGGGACACGUGGUAUCCUGUCUGAAUAUGGGGGGACCAUCCUCCAAGGCUAAAUACUCCUGACUGACCGAUAGUGAACCAGUACCGUGAGGGAAAGGCGAAAAGAACCCCGGCGAGGGGAGUGAAAAAGAACCUGAAACCGUGUACGUACAAGCAGUGGGAGCACCCUUUGGGUGUGACUGCGUACCUUUUGUAUAAUGGGUCAGCGACUUAUAUUCUGUAGCAAGGUUAACCGAAUAGGGGAGCCGGAGGGAAACCGAGUCUUAACCGGGCGUUAAGUUGCAGGGUAUAGACCCGAAACCCGGUGAUCUAGCCAUGGGCAGGUUGAAGGUUGGGUAACACUAACUGGAGGACCGAACCGACUAAUGUUGAAAAAUUAGCGGAUGACCUGUGGCUGGGGGUGAAAGGCCAAUCAAACCGGGAGAUAGCUGGUUCUCCCCGAAAGCUAUUUAGGUAGCGCCUCGUGAAUUCAUCUCCGGGGGUAGAGCACUGUUUCGGCUAGGGGGCCAUCCCGGCUUACCAACCCGAUGCAAACUGCGAAUACCGGAGAAUGUUAUCACGGGAGACACACGGCGGGUGCUAACGUCCGUCGUGAAGAGGGAAACAACCCAGACCGCCAGCUAAGGUCCCAAAGUCAUGGUUAAGUGGGAAACGAUGUGGGAAGGCCCAGACAGCCAGGAUGUUGGCUUAGAAGCAGCCAUCAUUUAAAGAAAGCGUAAUAGCUCACUGGUCGAGUCGGCCUGCGCGGAAGAUGUAACGGGGCUAAACCAUGCACCGAAGCUGCGGCAGCGACACUGUGUGUUGUUGGGUAGGGGAGCGUUCUGUAAGCCUGCGAAGGUGGCCUGUGAGGGUUGCUGGAGGUAUCAGAAGUGCGAAUGCUGACAUAAGUAACGAUAAAGCGGGUGAAAAGCCCGCUCGCCGGAAGACCAAGGGUUCCUGUCCAACGUUAAUCGGGGCAGGGUGAGUCGACCCCUAAGGCGAGGCCGAAAGGCGUAGUCGAUGGGAAACGGGUUAAUAUUCCCGUACUUGGUGUUACUGCGAAGGGGGGACGGAGAAGGCUAUGUUGGCCGGGCGACGGUUGUCCCGGUUUAAGCGUGUAGGUGUGUGUUCCAGGUAAAUCCGGUUCACUUUAACACUGAGGCGUGACGACGAGGCACUACGGUGCUGAAGCAACAAAUGCCCUGCUUCCAGGAAAAGCCUCUAAGCAUCAGGUAACAUCAAAUCGUACCCCAAACCGACACAGGUGGUCAGGUAGAGAAUACCAAGGCGCUUGAGAGAACUCGGGUGAAGGAACUAGGCAAAAUGGUGCCGUAACUUCGGGAGAAGGCACGCUGACACGUAGGUGAAGUGAUUUACUCAUGGAGCUGAAGUCAGUCGAAGAUACCAGCUGGCUGCAACUGUUUAUUAAAAACACAGCACUGUGCAAACACGAAAGUGGACGUAUACGGUGUGACGCCUGCCCGGUGCCGGAAGGUUAAUUGAUGGGGUCAGCGCAAGCGAAGCUCCUGAUCGAAGCCCCGGUAAACGGCGGCCGUAACUAUAACGGUCCUAAGGUAGCGAAAUUCCUUGUCGGGUAAGUUCCGACCUGCACGAAUGGCGUAAUGAUGGCCAGGCUGUCUCCACCCGAGACUCAGUGAAAUUGAACUCGCUGUGAAGAUGCAGUGUACCCGCGGCAAGACGGAAAGACCCCGUGAACCUUUACUAUAGCUUGACACUGAACAUUGAGCCUUGAUGUGUAGGAUAGGUGGGAGGCUUUGAAGUGUGGACGCCAGUCUGCAUGGAGCCGACCUUGAAAUACCACCCUUUAAUGUUUGAUGUUCUAACGUGGACCCGUUACCCGGGUUGCGGACAGUGUCUGGUGGGUAGUUUGACUGGGGCGGUCUCCUCCUAAAGAGUAACGGAGGAGCACGAAGGUUGGCUAAUCCUGGUCGGACAUCAGGAGGUUAGUGCAAUGGCAUAAGCCAGCUUGACUGCGAGCGUGACGGCGCGAGCAGGUGCGAAAGCAGGUCAUAGUGAUCCGGUGGUUCUGAAUGGAAGGGCCAUCGCUCAACGGAUAAAAGGUACUCCGGGGAUAACAGGCUGAUACCGCCCAAGAGUUCAUAUCGACGGCGGUGUUUGGCACCUCGAUGUCGGCUCAUCACAUCCUGGGGCUGAAGUAGGUCCCAAGGGUAUGGCUGUUCGCCAUUUAAAGUGGUACGCGAGCUGGGUUUAGAACGUCGUGAGACAGUUCGGUCCCUAUCUGCCGUGGGCGCUGGAGAACUGAGGGGGGCUGCUCCUAGUACGAGAGGACCGGAGUGGACGCAUCACUGGUGUUCGGGUUGUCAUGCCAAUGGCACUGCCCGGUAGCUAAAUGCGGAAGAGAUAAGUGCUGAAAGCAUCUAAGCACGAAACUUGCCCCGAG